RNAcentral lists this transfer RNA (66 nucleotides) under Eusyllis blomstrandi. RNAcentral's name for it is "tRNA-Ser". Lineage: Eukaryota; Metazoa; Annelida; Polychaeta; Phyllodocida; Syllidae. The record is from RNAcentral.
AGGAAGAAGUAUUAUAAAAAGAGCUUCUAACUCUAAUUAAAAAGGUGAGACUCCUUUUUCUUCUUA